UUAAUUAUGUUCAAUUUGUAACAAUGAAAUUGGGGGUCACCACAACAUGAGGAACUGUAUUAAAGGGUUGCAUCAUUAGGAAGGUCGAGACCACUGUUCUAAGGGUCAGGAAGCACAGCU
This is a long non-coding RNA of Myotis davidii, 120 nucleotides long. RefSeq lists it as uncharacterized. The transcript has 3 exons. The record is from RefSeq and is a predicted model, not a curated record. Lineage: Eukaryota; Metazoa; Chordata; Mammalia; Chiroptera; Vespertilionidae.